UGGGGAAUAUUGCACAAUGGGCGAAAGCCUGAUGCAGCGACGCCGCGUGAGGGACGAAGGCCUUCGGGUUGUAAACCUCUUUCAGCUCCGACGAAGCGAGAGUGACGGUAGGAGCAGAAGAAGCACCGGCCAACUACGUGCCAGCAGCCGCGGUAAUACGUAGGGUGCAAGCGUUGUCCGGAAUUAUUGGGCGUAAAGAGCUCGUAGGCGGUUUGUUGCGUCGGCUGUGAAAACCCGGGGCUCAACUCCGGGCCUGCAGCCGAUACGGGCAGACUAGAGUUCGGCAGGGGAGACUGGAAUUCCUGGUGUAGCGGUGAAAUGCGCAGAUAUCAGGAGGAACACCGGUGGCGAAGGCGGGUCUCUGGGCCGAUACUGACGCUGAGGAGCGAAAGCGUGGGGAGCGAACAG
Molecule: ribosomal RNA, 408 nt
Filed under: uncultured bacterium
Lineage: Bacteria
Description: bacterial SSU rRNA
Rfam family: Bacterial small subunit ribosomal RNA
Source: RNAcentral